Molecule: ribosomal RNA, 223 nt
Filed under: uncultured bacterium
Lineage: Bacteria
Description: partial 16S ribosomal RNA
Rfam family: Bacterial small subunit ribosomal RNA
Source: RNAcentral
GAUCAUGGCUCAGGACGAACGCUGGCGGCGUGCCUAACACAUGCAAGUCGAACGGAGUCUGCCCCGCAAGGGACUGACUUAGUGGCGAACGGGUGAGUAACGCGUGAGCAACCUGCCUUUCAGUGGGGGACAACAGUUGGAAAACGACUGCUAAUACCGCAUGAAGCAUAAUGAUCGCAUGGUCGAUAUGCCAAAGAUUUAUUGCUGAAAGAUGGGCUCGCGU